RNAcentral lists this long non-coding RNA (11904 nucleotides) under Brassica napus (rape). RNAcentral's name for it is "long non-coding RNA (BNAP_LNC025201)". The record is from RNAcentral. Lineage: Eukaryota; Viridiplantae; Streptophyta; Magnoliopsida; Brassicales; Brassicaceae.
CGGGAACGAAACAGCUGGUUUAGAAUUGAGAGAAAAGAAAAUUUUGUAGGAGGAAAUGCUUACAAAUUGACCACCUUAGCCGGGACCAUUGGAACCGUCCCAGGGCCUUGGGAAAAUGCACCACAACUAGUUCUCACCAAUGAUACUGCUAAGACCUUCCUCGUCAAAUUCCACAAAGUACAUGGUGAUACUACAUCUACUUCACGUCUGGAGAAGUUAGGUCUAGGGAUGUUCCCAUUCUACUAGUCAACAAGCUAAGAAUCAUGUAAUGUAAAGCCUGGCCUACCUGAAUUUCCAUAAAUAAAACAAAACUAUGUUUGCCAAAAAGAGACACAACUUUUCAUCAAAGCAAUGGAUUAAAAAAAGACACAAAUUCUUUCCAUAUCCUUUUUCCUUAUACAUAACUAAUCAAAGUUUAAUUGAACAUCCCAGUAGUCUCCUUCAAAAUAUACUGCUUCUCAAUACAUGUACGUAGAAGUAACUCUAAAAUAAAUAAGAAGUCAGUUGUAUAUUUGAAUUUGGCUUUUGAAACAUAAUUUAUAAAGGACCUUGAGAUAUUUUCUCAGGUUUGGGCUUAACUCGAGUUUCCAUUCGAUUGAGAUCGUAAUUCACUAUAUAUAACAGUUUGAGAUUCUAUCAGCUUUAUGUUAGUUGGGGUCCUGGGGACGUUUAUAGUUCCAAUAAACAAGAAAAGCUUCCAACUUCGAAUCCAAAACCUGUUAGUGAAAUUGUAAACUAAUGCUUUUCGCAUGAGUGAAUAAAACCCACUGAGAAUACAAAACUGAAAAUUCGUCCUGUUGUAUGGGAAAGGUCUAACUUUUUGGUAAAGUCAUUGGAAGGAGAUCAUAAGGAGCGAAAACAAACACAAAAAACAAAUUUCUCUAGCAUCAAAUAAAUAAUACAUAUAUGCAUGAUAAUUUGUCACCGAAUGUUGCCUGGUCUUUUUUUUUUACCUAGAUGAGUUCGUUGUUGAUAUAAUACUGAAUGAGAUAGAAUCUUGAGGUUUAGAGCGAUCAUGAGAAUAAACAUAUUGUGUUCAGUAUAACCGAUGGAGAAAGUGCUGACUAUUUCGUGACAAGUUGUUUUAGACUUGUAGUUGACUUUAUUCUUUUACCAAAUGCAUUUGAUGAACAUCUAACUAUCAAAGAGCAUUUCAUGAUAUAUGCAAUUUUUGCAGUUAACUUCUUUGAAGAAUACUCUGUUUUAUGGAUAACUAGUGGUCAUUCCGCGCGUAAUAUUACCUACUUAUUAAACUAUUUGUUGUAAGCCAUUGUUGUUUGUUUUCUUGGCUAUCAUUUGGACAUAAUGAGUGGGUGAAUGCUUUUGGUUGUAAUUUGUUUGCCAAAAGGUUAAUGCUGAAAGACUAUUGUAGUAGAAAUUUGAUGUGUUGUCUGUGAAAUUGUAUGAUUGGAAAAGUGCUUUAUUUUCUGCAUAUUGAGGAAAAUCAUUUUUGUUGAGGUCACUGUUCUAAAAAACGGCUUGUACGGCCGUACAUACGCCGUCUAAAUGCUGUGCGUAUGCUCUCCGUAUCGAAUUCUUCAAUUCGGUUAUAUUAUACGGCCAAACCAAAAUUCUAAACAUUUGGUAAGUCUUAAUGGGCCAGAUCAUUUUAAAGCACAAACUAGGUGAGUCAAAUAAUAAAUACUAGAUUAAUACCUGCACCUUGCGCGGAAUAAAAAUUAUAUAUAUAAAUUAUUUUAUGUAUUAUAUGUUCUUACAUAUUAUGAAAUAAUAAAUAUAUAUUAAAUAAUUAAAAGUCAGUAACUAUUACAUAUAUAAUAAAAUUGGUGCGAACGUAUAAAUCAAUUUUAUUAAUACAAACAAUUUUUAAAAAAAAUUUGAUAGGAUAUGUAAUUAAAUUUAAAUGAUAUUAACAUACAUAAUAUAUUUUUAAUAUUAAUGUCUAUUUUUUUUAAUGGUGUUUUCUACUCAUAUGUUUUUUUUGAUCAUGUGUAUCUUUAAUAGCAAAAACUUUAAAUUACUGAUAACAAAAUUUUCAUUGUGGGACUAAUAAUUUUAGUAAUUGAUAAUUUAAAAAAAUUUAUCAAUGUUAGUUCAAAACUUUUAUCAAAAAAAUUAUUCAAAGUAAAUUUUGAAACUAAAAUAUUUAUUUAUUCAAUAUGGUUUAUAGUUUAAUUUAGAAUGAUAUAUAUAUACAUAUAUAUUUUAAAUCUUAAUGAUUAAUUAAAUUAGACUUUUACUUAUAUGAUUUUGUAAUCAUUUGUAUUUUGUCAUAACAAAAAUUUUAAACCAUGGAUCGCAAAAUUUGAAUGUGAGACUUUUAACAAUUUUAGUAAUUUAUAGUCAUUUUUUAAAAUUCAAAAUAUAAAAUAUACAGAAAAAUCUAAAUUUUUAUAAUAUGGUUAUUUUGUUUUUUUUAAGUUAUUUUAAUAGUUUUAAAUUAAACAAAUUUGAUAGAAGAUACAUUUUUUUUAUCAGAUCUUUUUUAUUCAAAAUCAUUAAUUGUCAUAUAUACUUUACCCACAUUAGGCAAUUCCGUAAUCUUUAUUUAAAGAAAUAAUAAUUGACAUUAAUAAUGAAUUUAUGGUUAGUUUAAUAAAAAGUUUAUUAUAUAAUUAGAUGGACCAACCUAUUUCUCUAGUAAUUCUAAGAAUCAUCCUAGUGAUGACAUGUGGCUACAAAAAGAAGUUGUAAUGGACCAACCUAUUUCUCUAGUAAUUCUAAGAAUCAUCCUAAUGAUGACAUGUGGCUACAAAAAGAAGUUGUAAUGUUUCACAAAUAAUAUAUAGGGGAUAUAAAUUAGUUUAUAGGAUCACUUGUAAACUUGAUUUUUUUUUUCUUUUUUGGCGAUGUGGGAUUUGCAUAACCACGUCACUCUUAUAUUAUUACUUUUCAUGAAAACAUUCAGUUAUAGAGUCCCACAACAUAUUAAACUGAUGAACACUUUAGGAAUAUAUAUUUAAAUUAGUUUUCAGUUAUCUAUACACGAGAAAGGAAUAAAAUGUUAACUCAUAAAUUAUAAAAAUUAGUUUACAAAAAAAUUAUAAAAAUUAAAAUUUAUUUUUUUAUAUGUAAAUAUUGUAAUAUAAAUACAUUUAAACAGAAAAUAUAUUUACCGUAUAUACUUCAUAUAUACAUCCAUAUAGAUAACUAGGCGCUAUACGGUAAUUUGCCGCUCGGAUAGCGUAUAGCGUAUUUUAGAACACUAGUUGAGAUAAUAACUCUGGGGAGAGAGAUGCACUGGUUAGAUUUUUUUUUUUUAAACAUUAUGGGCUUUUAAGAGUGUUUUUGUUCUUCGCGCCCGAAAGAUUAUAUUUGUUUUGUUUAUCAUUUUGCACAUUUUAUAUCUUUUACGUAUUUGAGAUUUUAUUUGUGGUCAAUAUCCUUUAGACAUUAUUUUGAAAUGAUUUGCAUAUGCUUCAUCACGACAUUCAAUUUUAACAAUAAAAGAUGACAUGAAUUUGAAAAAAAUAUAUGAAAUGGCACUAAUAUAAUUGUGACAUAUACAAUCUUCCUUAUAAAACUUUAAAUAUUUUGGGUAAAAUUUUUUAAAUAUGGCAAUUACUAUUAACUUCUAUAUUAUUAUUAAUGUAAAUUUUCUAUAUAUAUAUUCAUUUUUUUGGUAAUAAUAUUAUAAUGUAUUAAUAACUAAUAACUAAUAACUCAUAACUCACAUUAAUAAAAAAUAAGAUAAAUAGUGAAUAUAGUUACAAAUAUAUUUUUUUAUGUGAACUUAUAAACUUUAUUUUGUAUAAAUAUAUAUGUUUUACCAAACAUAAUUGUAAGUGUGCAUCAACAGAUAAAAAAUUAAAACAACACUAAGCAAAUAUUUUUUUGAUAGAUAAAUGAGUAAAAUUUUAUUUAACUUUAUAUAUUCAUUAGAUUAAUUAAAAAUUUUAUUUUUCUCAAUGUAACAUAUUUUAACUAAAUAAAAAAAUAGCCAAAAUUUAUUAGAAUAUAUUUUAACAAUAAGAGAUAUAUUAAAAUAAAUAAUCAUAAAAUAUAAUAGAAUACAAUUAAAAUAUAUUUUAUAAGAGAAGUACCCUAGGAUAACACUAAAAACGUUUUUGUCACAAAUAUAGACUCUAAGGAUCAAAAUGACCAAAAUAUUUCAUUAAAAAGUUAAAUAUACAUUUAUACCCCUAGGGUUAACUAAUCCAAACCUUAAGGUUUAGAGUUAAUGGGUGGAGAUUUGAAAUUAAGGUUUAAAAUUUUAUAAAAUAAAAAAUAAAUAUUAAAAAUAAAAAUUUGAAAAAUAGUUUAAAAAAGUAUUUCGAAUUAUAAAAAGAAAAUUUGAAAAAAAUUCAAAAUUUUUUUUCAAGAAAACAUUUAUAAAAAACUUCGAAUUUAAAAACAUAUAAUCUAAAACUAUAAAAAAACAUUUUUUAUUUUUUUAUUUGUAUUUAUAUAUCCAGGGUAUUAUAGUCUUUUUACCUAUUAAAUAAAACAUUUUGGUCAUUUUUCUCCUUAGGGUCUAUUUUUGUGACAAAAACUUGAAAAUUGUCUAUUUAAGAGAAUUGCCCAUUUUAUAAUCUAAUUUUAAAUUUAUUAAAGCAUAAAUAAAUUCAAACUGAAAUAGUUAAACCAAAUCAAAAGAAAUAAGAUUACAAAAAAUACAUUUAAGGCUUUUUAAAAUCAUUGAAAUUAAAAUAUAAAAAUAAUGAUGUUCAAAUGUAAAUUAAAUUUUUCUUAUAAAAUAAAAAGAGUAUUAUACAGAAAAACUCCUAGUGUAUCAUGAAAUUAUAUAUGAAAAUAUAUUCUCAUUUUUUUAUUUUUAAAAAUUAUAUUUGAUUUUUAGCAUUCAUCUUGGUUGUAUUCUUCUAAUGAAAAUAUAUAUUUUUUUGAGACUAUUUGUGUAUUAUUAUAAUUAUUAACCGCAGAAAAAUUAUAUUUGUCUUUUAACAUUUGAAAUUAUACUAUUUUAAAAUUAUAUUUGUCUUUUAAAAUAUAUUUAUGAAAUUAUACUAUUUUAAAUUUUACCAUCUAUUUCGAUUGUAUUUUUUUUUUGUAGGGGAGUUACAUUCUUAUUUUUCGUAUUUUCUGAGAUUAUAUGUGUAUUGUUUUAUAUAUUUUAUUUAAUUUUAUGUUAAAAUUGUCAGAUUGAUGGUGGUUUAUGUGUGUGUAUUCUAUCUGUGAUUAUGAAUGUCUCUAACAAUCUUUUUAUUCAAAUAUCAUACCAAAUAUUGAAAACCACAUUGUCUUUGGCUAAUCUAGCAUGUUUAACUUCUAGAGGGUUUUUUUUCUUCUUAACCGUAAAAGGCUACGAGCAUAUUUUAGUUAAUAAUUUUUAAUAGUUUUGAUUUAUAUUUAAAUAUUAAUUAGGACGGUAGUCCAAACCAAAGCCCACUUAACCCUAAAACCCACCAGAACCAAUCUAUAUAAACAAAAAUAGCAUAUGACUUUUGAGGUUAAUAAUUUUAAUAUUAUAAAAAAAUUCAGCUUAACUCGGUACAAAUCCAAACCGUUCUAAAAUUAAUCAUUCAUAUCUUUUAUUAUUUCAAAUAUAUAUAUAUACUUUCUUUGACAUUUUAUGCAAUUUAUACAUAACAAAAUGUAUUGAAGUUUGAUGUAGCUUUUCAAUAUAUAUAGUUGUUAAUAGUGAUGAAGGCUUAAAUUUUUAUAAGAUAUUCUAAAAAACACUUCACUACAUAGAUUUAAAGUUUUCUUUAAUAUUUGAUCUAUAUUUUUGGAUAUUUGUCAACAAUCUUGGUUGUAAAUUAAUUUUGAUUGAUUAAAACAUAUUAAAAUUUUACAUUUUGGUUUAUUUUGGGUUCUGGAGUUUUUGGUUACCCGAGUUCUUCUGUAUGUAGUAUGAGCUCAGAUUUCUGAGAAGCUUGCUUACCAAUUAUUGAAAGUCGCACUGUCUUUAGCUAUUAUGUUUUAACUUCCAGAGAGCUUGUGUUAAAAAAAAAACUUCUAAAGAGUUGAUUUUAGUCUUAACAAAAAAAACUAUAAGCAUAUUCUAGUAGAUAACUUUUUAAUAGCUUUAAUUUACAUUUAGAUGUUAAUUAGGAUCGUAGUCCAAACCAAAAUCUAUUUAACCUAAAACACAUGGGAACAAAUCUAUAUAAACAAAAAAUAGCAUAUGCCUUUUGAAAUAAUAAUUUUUAUAUUAUAAGUUUUUUCAGCUUAAUUCGGUACAAAAUUUUGUAUUAUUUCAAAAUCAUUAUUUAUUUAGAUUUUACACAAUUUAUACAUAAGAAAAUGUAUUGAAGUUUGACGUAGCUUUUCUAUAUAUAUAUAGUUGUUAAUGGUGAUGAAAGCUUAAAAGCUUUAUAAGAUAUUCUAAAAUACACUUUACUACAUAGAAUUAAAGUUUCUUUAAUAUUUGAUAUAUAUUUUUUGGAUUUUGUUUUUCAAAAAUCUUGGUUGUGAAUUCAUUUUGAUUGAUUAAAACUUAAAAAAAAAAAAUUAACUUUGGUUUAUUUUGACUUUUUGAUUCCCAGAGUUCUUGUGCCAAGUUCAAAUUUUUGAGAAGCUAGUUUUAAUUUAUUUUGAGCUUAAACAUGUUAGAUGUUUCAGAAGAUCUUGUGUAGAUCCUGCUAUUGUGUUGUUCUUGGGUCUAUCGUGUUGGUUGUUAACGGCUUGCCUUAGUAACUCGAGACUUAACACCGUUAGUUUAAGGAUAUAUGCAUCAUUGCAGUGCUUUUAAGUUUUAUAUAUUAGGUUUUAUAUGAGACUGAAGAAAUGCUUGCUAUCGUGUGUCCUACUGUGUCAAAAUAGCUAUUUCGUUAUGGAGGAGGUACCAUAAAUAUAUUUACAUGACUAAGCCUUAAAAUUCCCGAAUAUCUUUUUCACAUCAUGAUCUCAUUUGUAAUAAUCACCAACCUUUUUUCGACGCUAAUUAGCUUUGCAUUCGAAAGUAGAAGCACUACGAUGGACGAUGAAAAAUAUGCUUCAACAUUCGACAUGCCAGAGCUUCACGCCUGGCCAAGCUUUGCAACAUAAUUGGAGAGGAUAAAUAUUAUGCAGAUAUGCUUUCCAGAUUUCAAGAUCACUUAUAUUCCGUGUGCUCAAAACAAGAUUUUUGAUUUUUUAGCUAGGACUGCUAGAUCCUUCCAUUGGGAGUUAUAUUUCAUUGAUUGUUCUAUUCCGGUCUGGUUACCCAGACCACCUCAAGUUUGAGUAAUAUGAUAGCCGCUCGUUGUCAAAAAAUAAAAAUAAAAUAAUCUCCCAACCCAGAAUAGUUGGAUCCCGUUAACAAUCACUAAUCUUCAUACCAAAGCACAAUCCAAGAUGAUACAAUAUUUCAUCACCAAAAUGGAAAGUUUCAUCCAGUACUUGUGCCAAAGCUAUUGCUCUAAUUCGUAGAAAUCAGAUUCAUCACCUCCCUCACAGCUUUAACCACUAAGAGAUCUCCUUGCAAUGGUUAAACAACAUCUUAGUCCUAGUGUGGUGCAGUAGCAACCAAAAAAACUAAACUUUAAUUUGUAAGCAUAAUGGAUAGAUUCUGCUCCAUUAGAUGAGCAAAGUUGGCCAGGAAAAUUUUACAUGCAGUCUCUAAUUGUUUUUGGAGCUCUUGGCCUCCACCCGAAGAAAAAUAGCAGAGAAGGGAACACAUGCAAUGAUUUAUCGAGCUCUAAUUAUCAGUGAGUAAAGUUCUUUGUUAAUCAUUAAACUUUAUGCAAUGAAUCAUUAGGAGUAAAGUUCUUUGCAAAACACAUCAGUUAUCAAGCGUAGACACUCAGGAAAAGGUAUACAGACCUCCCAAACUUUUGCGGCAAAGACCAAUGAUUAGAUUGAGUAGGAUGAGCAGUUAAAACCAAGUUAACAGUCAGGUUCUUGAGAGCAUCAAAUGCUCUCUUCAAGAAGCUUUGUAAGCAGCAAGAGCCUCUUAAGAGUCUCUUCAAUGUCGAAUUCUGUUGCUGCAGGACCUCAUCUGCAAAAAUAUCAAUCAAACAUUAAAGAGACAUAGAUAACAAAGGAAGUCAAGAUUUUGCAAGUUACUUUACCAAAAUAACUGGAGACAAUUUUUGACUUUGUGGGAUGAAAUUUAGAAAUAUUCUUAAACAGUUGAAAACAAUUAAACAAAUAAGAGCAUCAUUAUCCCUGAAACCCCAAAUUCUUAGUUUUUUUUUUUUUUUAUUUUUUUUUUAUUUUUUCGAAUUUAAAAAAAAAAACGAACCAAUCGUGAGCCGCCACGUGUUAGUGGGGCCCGCGAACAGUGUAAGAAACCCUUAAUACCGACUACUAUUUAAUAGUUUUUGUAACCGGUUUCUAAAAAAAUAAGUGGGUUCUACGCGGGACCCACACGAUAAGAAACCAUCUAGAAUCCCCGGAUAAAAAUAGAAAUCUAACCCAUAAAGUUUUUUGUUUAACUGGAUUUUUUUUGUUUAGUUGUCAGAUUGGGCCUCAUCAUGUUAAUAAAAAUUAAAUAAAAACAAAACACAAAGGAAAAGGUCCAGCCCACCGAAAAUAACCAAAUCAUUCGAAAACUAAAAAUUCCUUGCCUGCCACGUGACAUUUUUCCCCUAUGGAGAAAAAACCAACUUUAUUGUAUUAGAUUGUGUGUUUUUUGCACAUUUUGUUUCUAAUUCUAACGAAUUGGAUCAUAUUUUAAUUUGAGUUUUCUAUUAAUUGGAAAUUUCAGUUAGGUUUUUGUAUUAGAUGUUAUAGCCAAUGUUCAAUUAAAUGUUACAUUUUCAAGUAUAGGUGUAGCUUUGCAAAGUGGUAUGACAUUGCAAAAGCUAUAUUUUGACAAGUUCUCAAAAUACUUUGAACAUAUUUUUCAUUUUAUUAUUUUAAAAAUAUAUUUUUAAAAAAAUUAUAUACUCAUUCAAAAAUAAAAUAAUAAUAGUUAAUGGUGAUAAUUAAUUACAAUAAUUUUAAUUUAUUAAAAGUAAUAAUAAUAUUACUUUUAGGGGAUACGUUAAUUGAAAUAGUAAGUCGUAACUUUAGAGCAUGAUUAACCCGAACUCUUAAUUUGAAGUUCUUAACUCAUGAAUUGACAUUUUUUUUUACAUUUUUCGGUUAAGAGUCAGUUUUUAUAUCUCUUAUUUAAGAGACAGUUCUUAGUUUUUCUUAGUUAAAAGCUAAGAACCCCACUCUAAGAGCACGGAUCAAUCAAGACCUUACAUUAAUUGCAUUAAAUUGAUAAAACUAAUUUGGUGAACUUAGUUCAUAAUCAAUCGAAAAAUAAUACUAUAGGAUAUCGAAAAACAGUUUUUAUAGUAAAAAUAUCAUACACUUUAAAAAUGAAUGGAAUCAUAGGAAAAAAAAUCUAAAGCAUCAGUUGACCAUUGAUACUCCAUAGUUUACGCAGGUAACCAAUUUUGUUAGUUAUUUCUGGAUCCCAACAAAUCUUUUCUCCCACCAACUCAAAGUAUUUGUUCUCAAUUCUUUUCUUAGCAGCAGCAUCGGGCAUUCUACUACGGUAGUCUCCUGCUCUUAACUCCGCAAUGACAAGUUCAAGCAUAACUUGACAGUUUCUGUCUUUCCACAGAUACUAAAGUACAUAUUUCUAGUUGUUAACUUAAAAUAUCUCAUUUAUACAGCUGAUUACUGCAGAAAAAAUUAUAUAACAUAAUUACCUGGCCUUCACGACUGGUUUCACCAUCGAUUGUGGUUCUUGCCUCAUUGUUUGACUUACGUCCACGACGUGCUCCAUUUUGAUUUCUUGAAAUUGACAUGAUAGCUAUAAUAUAAACACAUGAAACAAGUUUUAUUAUUAACCAACACUGAUCAGUGCGUGUGUUUUUUCUUAUACACAUAAUAAAUAAUCUUAAAAGUAUAGUUUACCUGCUUCUCUUGUUUCUAGAUGUAUUAGGGUUAUAUGAAGAAAAAGCUUGAUGAACUAAUGUUAUAUAGAAAAAGACAAACCUACGUACAUUGAUAAGUUGGUUUAAAAUGUCAGUUUUCUAUAAAUUUAUUUGGUACAUUAACAUAUUAAUAUAUAUAUUUUUACCAUUUUUUAUAGUUUUCCUUUUGAUUCCUUAUCUAAUUUGACAUGGAAAAUAUUUACACUAUAUUCCUCAUAAGAAAAGGAACGUGGGGGAAUUUCUAAUUCCUACAAGUAAUAAAAUUUCCCUUUAACUGGUAACAAAAGACGGGAACUGAGAGGAACAUAGUAUUCCCUGCAAUUUUUUUCCUCAAUUGGUGUCACCAGUUGGACCCAAAGAGAAACAUGAGUGGAAUAAUAUUCAUUAUAUGAUAAAGCAUAUAUAAUUAGGGUUUAAAAGUUAGAAUUUAUGGUAAUAAUAUCUUUAAAUAAAUCUUUUUUGUUAAUAUUUCAAGAAUAUUUUUUAUAUUAAAUGAAUUAUAUUAAAUGAAUUAUUCAUUAAAGAUAACUUAGUUUUUCCAGAUUACUAUUUAUUUAGAUGUUAUUUUUAUAGUAAGAAAAUAUUUUUUCUGCUUUUUUGGAGAAUUGCUUAUUUUUUUCAUGUCUGUGUAUUUUGCAAAGUGGUCCAGUAGCGCAAACUCUAUUUUGAGAAACUCUAAAAAAUUCAAAGAUAUUUUCCAAUUUUAAAAAUUAUUAAAUAAUUACUGAAAUAAUAAUUAUAAUAAUAAUUGAUUAUAUAAUUUAAAUUCACUAAGAGUAUCUAUAUAUUUUCUGAUGAAAAUUUUAUGUGUAUGAUAAAAUUCAUUUUCAAAUAAUAUUAUAGAGUACGGAGUUUCUUAGUUUUGCUUAUACAAAAUAUCUUUGGGCAUUGUACGGAGUUUCUUAGUUUUGAUUUACCAGACUUAUCACUUAUUAUUUUUUUUUUGAUAAAUCCUAUCGACUGAUCCGGUCGGCCCUGGGAGAAACGUACUUAGUGCUACAUAAAAAAUCGUGGUAGACGUCAUUUUUAUUUUGUCUGGUAUGGUGCUUUAAAUUGACAAAAAAAGUUUUUUAAAAACAAAUUGACAGAAAAAGUUGGAAGUAGAAAUAAGAUAUUUAGAGAAUCAUUUUUUUGCUUCCAAAAUUUUUAGUUGCCAAUAUAUUAUGGGUGCACGUGCCCCCAUUGUUAUUGUCCUGGCUUGGCCACUGUCUAUACAUUCAUUGGUUGUUCAGUAUAGUCUCUUUCUGUUUGAAAUCUUGCCUGGUUCUCAGGAAUUACUUGAUCAUCCUUUAUAAGUUAGUUACAAUGGACCAUUUUGCAUGUUCCUCGUGCUGAAAAUCAAAGUUUGAUUCGGUUAACCUAUGUAGUAAAUUUUCAAUAAAUAUCUAUAUAGAAAUGAGAGACAAUCUUUUCUUUUUUACCGUCACACACGGGCAUAUAAUUUAACCGCAGAAGUUUCAUAUAAAUAUUGGUGCAACGUUUCUGCUCUCUACAGCUCAACUCAAAAGGAAACACACACAUAUUCAAAAUGAUGUCAUCAUUCCCAUUGGUCUCCUUUCUCAUCACUCUCAUGUUGGCUGCAGCUGUAUGCACCCACGGGGAAAAUCGCGUGAAUGACACCGACGGAAAUCCACUUCGAACGACUGCACAAUACUUGAUCCUACCACUCUCCCCGAGGAGUAACGGAGGUGGUCUUCUCCCAGUUCCCGUUAAACUACAGCCCCUUUGUCCACUUGGCAUCAGCCAAUCCUCGGUUAAGGCCUUACCAGGCCUACCGGUUAGCUUCUCAUAUCCAUACGCGAUCAUGGACACAUAUGUUAACGAAAUGGAAGCUAUAAACAUCGAGUUCAAGUCAGACGCAUGGCCGGGCUGCGAGGAGUUUUCCAAGUACUGGGAAGUCGAUGAAUCCUCAUCGGCUUCAGAGGAGCCUGCGAUUCUCGUCGGUGGUAAGAAGCACGAACGAAAAGAACCUUUUUACGGAGGAAUUGCUUACAAGUUGACCACCUUAACCGGAACCAUUGGAACCGUCCCCGGGCCUUGGGAAAAUGCACCACAACUAGUUCUCACCAAUGAUACUGCGAAGACCUUCCUCGUCAAAUUCCACAAGGUUCAUGGUGAUACCACGGCUACUACUUCUACUUCACGUCAGGAGAAGUUAGGUCUAAGGAUGUUCCCAUUCUAAUCA